Molecule: long non-coding RNA, 326 nt
Filed under: Homo sapiens (human)
Lineage: Eukaryota; Metazoa; Chordata; Mammalia; Primates; Hominidae
Description: non-protein coding lnc-CCDC9B-3:1
Source: RNAcentral
AGGGAGAGGCCGGCAGAGGCCCGGCUCCGGUGGCUCCAGCUUUCCUCCCACUCUGGCUCCCCAGGGGCUGCUCUGGAAUUCUCUCGGUGCCCGCCGUUGCCAUGCACUCGGCUGGAACUCCCAGAGCCGAGUCCCCCAUGAGCAGGCAGGAGAAGGACGCAGAGCUGGAUCGGAGGAUAGUUGCCCUGCGCAAGAAGAACCAGGCCUUGCUCCGCAGGUACCAGGCCUAUCAGCAUCUAUGUCUCUGUGCACCUGGGGGGCCAUGGCGUGUGCUGACCCCCAGCCCUCCCACAGGAGAUCCAGGAGGACCGUCGGCAGGCAGAGCA